GACGAACCACACAAACGUUAUUCGGAAUUACUGGGCUUAAAGGGUGCGUAGGCGGCGCAGAAAGUAGGGUGUGAAAUCCCUCGGCUCAACCGAGGAACUGCGCCCUAAACUACUGUGCUCGAGGGAGGUAGAGGUGAGCGGAACUUAGGGUGGAGCGGUGAAAUGCGUUGAUAUCCUAAGGAACACCGGUGGCGAAAGCGGCUUACUGGGUCUUAUCUGACGCUGAGGCACGAAAGCUAGGGUAGCGAACGGG
This 253-nucleotide ribosomal RNA is filed under the name uncultured bacterium. RNAcentral's name for it is "partial 16S ribosomal RNA". It matches the Rfam family "Bacterial small subunit ribosomal RNA", at positions 524 to 776 of the family's 1533-position model. The record is from RNAcentral.